RNAcentral lists this ribosomal RNA (250 nucleotides) under uncultured bacterium. RNAcentral's name for it is "partial 16S ribosomal RNA". It matches the Rfam family "Bacterial small subunit ribosomal RNA", at positions 524 to 773 of the family's 1533-position model. The record is from RNAcentral.
AACGUAGGACACAAGCGUUAUCCGGAGUUACUGGGCGUAAAGGGCGUGCAGGCGGUUUCUUAAGUCAGGCGUGAAACCAUUCGGCUAAACCGGGUGUAGUCGUCUGAGACUGGGAGACUAGAGUGUGGUAGAGGCGUGUAGAAUUCCGGGUGUAGUGGUGAAAUGCGUAGAUAUCCGGAGGAAUACCAGUGGCGAAGGCGGCACGCUGGGCCAUAACUGACGCUAAGACGCGAAAGCAUGGGUAGCGAAC